AAGGAAUAUUGGACAAUGGUCGCAAGACUGAUCCAGCCAUGCCGCGUGCAGGAUGAAUGCCCUAUGGGUUGUAAACUGCUUUUAUACGGGAAUAAACCCGGGUACGUGUACCCGGCUGAAUGUACCGUAAGAAUAAGGGUCGGCUAACUUCGUGCCAGCAGCCGCGGUAAGACGAAGGACCCAAGCGUUAUCCGGAUUCAUUGGGUUUAAAGGGUGCGUAGGCGGGUUGAUAAGUCAGUGGUGAAAGCCCAACGCUUAACGUUGGAACUGACAUUGAUACUGUCGAUCUUGAAUGUGUUUGAUGUGGGCGGAAUAUGACAUGUAGCGGUGAAAUGCUUAGAUAUGUCAUAGAACACCGAUUGCGAAGGCAGCUCACAAAACCACUAUUGACGCUGAGGCACGAAAGCGUGGGGAUCAAAC
This 420-nucleotide ribosomal RNA is filed under the name uncultured bacterium. RNAcentral's name for it is "bacterial SSU rRNA". It matches the Rfam family "Bacterial small subunit ribosomal RNA", at positions 356 to 773 of the family's 1533-position model. The record is from RNAcentral.